GGUCCGAUGGUCUAGGGGUAUGAAGCUCUCUUGGGGCGGUUCACUGUCUAUAGGCGAGGUCCCGAGUUCGAUUCCCGGUUGAGCGC
Non-coding RNA from Phlebiopsis gigantea 11061_1 CR5-6, 86 nucleotides. NCBI's taxonomy places the organism in Eukaryota, Fungi, Basidiomycota, Agaricomycetes, Polyporales, Phanerochaetaceae. The record is from the annotation of a GenBank genome assembly.